AACGAACGCUGGCGGCAGGCUUAACACAUGCAAGUCGAGCGAGGUUUUCGGACCUAGCGGCGGACGGGUGAGUAACGCGUGGGAACGUGCCCUUUGCUACGGAAUAGCCUCUGGAAACGGAGAGUAAUACCGUAUGUGCCCGGUAACGGGGAAAGAUUUAUCGGCAAAGGAUCGGCCCGCGUUGGAUUAGGUAGUUGGUGGGGUAAUGGCCUACCAAGCCGACGAUCCAUAGCUGGUUUGAGAGGAUGAUCAGCCACACUGGGACUGAGACACGGCCCAGACUCCUACGGGAGGCAGCAGUGGGGAAUCUUAGACAAUGGGGGCAACCCUGAUCUAGCCAUGCCGCGUGAGUGAUGAAGGCCUUAGGGUUGUGAAGCUCUUUCAGCUGGGAAGAUAAUGACGGUACCAGCAGAAGAAGCCCCGGCUAACUCCGUGCCAGCCGCCGCAGUAA
RNAcentral lists this ribosomal RNA (451 nucleotides) under uncultured bacterium. RNAcentral's name for it is "partial 16S ribosomal RNA". It matches the Rfam family "Bacterial small subunit ribosomal RNA", at positions 29 to 523 of the family's 1533-position model. The record is from RNAcentral.